This 935-nucleotide long non-coding RNA is filed under the name Mytilus galloprovincialis (Mediterranean mussel). Lineage: Eukaryota; Metazoa; Mollusca; Bivalvia; Mytilida; Mytilidae. The record is from RNAcentral.
AUUAUUACAUUUUAAUCAAUUUUACCUUUGUAUUUAAGUUUUCAACUCAAAUAUGUAUGUUUAUUUUUUUUAUGCAGCAAACAUACUGCAAUCUGAUUGGUUGAUAACCACCGGUGUAAAUAACAUCCACCCUUGUUAACCCCGGGAUAUAUAUAAUUUAGUCAAAAAAUUUUAACAUUGAAAAAAAUUGCAAAACCAAGGAUUUGUUUAGCUAUUCAAAUCUUUGGCAAAACAAAAGAAAUUUAAAAAUAAAAUGUAAAAAUAAAAAAAUAAAAAAAUAUUAAAAAAUAAAUAAAUUUUAGAACAAAAAUUUGUAAAAAUAAAAGAAAAAAAUUCCCGAAAAAUUCGAAAGAACAUUUUUUUCUUCUGAAUUUCCCAAAAUUUAAGGGAAAAAGUUAUUUGACAAUAUACAGCAACAUCGUUGAAAAGAAAUGUUACACUGAAAUUGUUUCAUUAGCAUUUUUCAAUUUUACAUACCGGUUUUAAAAUGAGUAAAGUAAUUGUUCAUUAUUAUUAACUUCGUUAUCUAGGUGUAAUCCGGGAUAUAAGUAAUUUUCAACAACGGAGUAAAAUUCUGUACACCUCCUGAUUACACCAUGAUAGUUUAUAAUAUUUACGUCGAAUAAUGGUGUGUUAUACUUGCCGCUGGACACAAGCUCAAACCCUUGUUCCAUUACUGUUAAUUAAACACUAAGAUGGUUUCUCAAAUUUUUAAGACACACAAAUGUUCGCUUUGAAUGUGGAUACUUUAUUUUGAGACAGUUAAUAAUAUCCACUUAUUUAUUAAAACAUGCACUCUUCGACUCCUACUUGAUCCAGCACUGUUAUUUUCAUGUAAUAUUUGCAGUUUAACUCGUCAAGUCAAUGCACCUAUUAAAAAGUUAUUUGAUAUCUAAAGACAAGCAAAGGUAUUUGUAUGUUUCCAAAUAUAAGCC